RNAcentral lists this ribosomal RNA (94 nucleotides) under Mordavella massiliensis. Lineage: Bacteria; Bacillati; Bacillota; Clostridia; Eubacteriales; Clostridiaceae. The record is from RNAcentral.
AACACCCGUACCCAUCCCGAACACGAUGGUUAAGCCCUAAGCGGCCGAUGGUACUGCACUGGAGACGGUGUGGGAGAGCAGGUGGCUGCCAGGA